AAGACUAUAGACCUGCGGAGUACCUGCGGAGGGAUCAUUAUUGAAUUAUGUUUCUAAAUGGGUUAUAGCUGGCUCGUCAGAGCAUGUGCACGCCUGUUUGGACUUCAUUUUCAUCCACCUGUGCACCUAUUGUAGUCUUUGGUUGGGUAUCAAGGAAGUGGUCAGCCUAUCAGCACUUGCUGGAUGUGAGGACUUGCAGUGUGAAAGCUUUGCUGUCCUUUACUUGAUCAUGGAGUUGUU
Molecule: unclassified non-coding RNA, 240 nt
Filed under: soil metagenome
Description: partial contains 5.8S ribosomal RNA, internal transcribed spacer 2, and large subunit ribosomal RNA
Source: RNAcentral